UGGGGAAUAUUGGACAAUGGGGCGAAAGCCUGAUCCAGCCAUGCCGCGUGAGUGAUGAAGGCCCUAGGGUUGUAAAGCUCUUUCACCGGUGAAGAUAAUGACGGUAACCGGAGAAGAAGCCCCGGCUAACUUCGUGCCAGCAGCCGCGGUAAUACGAAGGGGGCUAGCGUUGUUCGGAAUUACUGGGCGUAAAGCGCACGUAGGCGGACAUUUAAGUCAGGGGUGAAAUCCCGGGGGCUCAACCCCGGAACUGCCUUUGAUACUGGGUGUCUAGAGUUCGGGAGAGGUGAGUGGAAUUCCGAGUGUAGAGGUGAAAUUCGUAGAUAUUCGGAGGAACACCAGUGGCGAAGGCGGCUCACUGGCUCGAUACUGACGCUGAGGUGCGAAAGCGUGGGGAGCAAAACAGGAUUAGAUACCCUGGUAGUCCACGCCGUAAAACGAUGGAAGCCAGCUGUCGGCAAGUUUACUUGUCGGUGGCGCAGCUAACGCAUUAAGCUUCCCGCCUGGGGAGUACGGUCGCAAGAUUAAAACUCAAAUGAAUUGACGGGGGUCAUAGCUG
Molecule: ribosomal RNA, 559 nt
Filed under: uncultured bacterium
Lineage: Bacteria
Description: partial 16S ribosomal RNA
Rfam family: Bacterial small subunit ribosomal RNA
Source: RNAcentral